GAUGAACACUGGCGGCGUGCUUAACACAUGCAAGUCGAACGGAAAGGCUCCUGCUUGCAGGGGUACUCGAGUGGCGAACGGGUGAGUAACACGUGGGUGAUCUGCCCUGCACUUCGGGAUAAGCCUGGGAAACUGGGUCUAAUACCGGAUAGGACGAUGGUUUGGAUGCCAUUGUGGAAAGUUUUUCGGUGUGGGAUGAGCUCGCGGCCUAUCAGCUUGUUGGUGGGGUAAUGGCCUACCAAGGCGUCGACGGGUAGCCGGCCUGAGAGGGUGUACGGCCACAUUGGGACUGAGAUACGGCCCAGACUCCUACGGGAGGCAGCAGUGGGGAAUAUUGCACAAUGGGCGCAAGCCUGAUGCAGCGACGCCGCGUGGGGGAUGACGGCCUUCGGGUUGUAAACUCCUUUCGCUAGGGACGAAGCGCAAGUGACGGUACCUGGAGAAGAAGCACCGGCUAACUACGUG
RNAcentral lists this ribosomal RNA (465 nucleotides) under uncultured bacterium. Its description in RNAcentral is "partial 16S ribosomal RNA". It matches the Rfam family "Bacterial small subunit ribosomal RNA", at positions 28 to 507 of the family's 1533-position model. The record is from RNAcentral.